Molecule: ribosomal RNA, 702 nt
Filed under: Luteimonas aestuarii
Lineage: Bacteria; Pseudomonadati; Pseudomonadota; Gammaproteobacteria; Lysobacterales; Lysobacteraceae
Description: bacterial SSU rRNA
Rfam family: Bacterial small subunit ribosomal RNA
Source: RNAcentral
UGCAGUCGACGGCAGCACAGAGGAGCUUGCUCCUUGGGUGGCGAGUGGCGGACGGGUGAGGAAUACAUCGGAAUCUGCCUAUUUGUGGGGGAUAACGUAGGGAAACUUACGCUAAUACCGCAUACGACCUACGGGUGAAAGCGGAGGACCUUCGGGCUUCGCGCAGAUAGAUGAGCCGAUGUCGGAUUAGCUAGUUGGCGGGGUAAAGGCCCACCAAGGCGACGAUCCGUAGCUGGUCUGAGAGGAUGAUCAGCCACACUGGAACUGAGACACGGUCCAGACUCCUACGGGAGGCAGCAGUGGGGAAUAUUGGACAAUGGGCGCAAGCCUGAUCCAGCCAUGCCGCGUGGGUGAAGAAGGCCUUCGGGUUGUAAAGCCCUUUUGUUGGGAAAGAAAAGCAGUCGGUUAAUACCCGAUUGUUCUGACGGUACCCAAAGAAUAAGCACCGGCUAACUUCGUGCCAGCAGCCGCGGUAAUACGAAGGGUGCAAGCGUUACUCGGAAUUACUGGGCGUAAAGCGUGCGUAGGUGGUUUGUUAAGUCUGAUGUGAAAGCCCUGGGCUCAACCUGGGAAUUGCAUUGGAUACUGGCAGGCUAGAGUGCGGUAGAGGGUAGUGGAAUUCCCGGUGUAGCAGUGAAAUGCGUAGAGAUCGGGAGGAACAUCCGUGGCGAAGGCGACUACCUGGACCAGCACUGACACUGA